GAGCUUGUGAUGAUUCAGGUCCACAAGCAUCUUAGUAGAUUUCUGUGAGGCGAGUCUAUCGCGGUUAAUCGCUUAUUGUUGUUACACACACUGAAGCUU
This 99-nucleotide small nucleolar RNA is filed under the name Leersia perrieri. RNAcentral's name for it is "snoRNA snoR11". It matches the Rfam family "Small nucleolar RNA R11/Z151". Rfam says of the family: snoR11/Z151 is a member of the C/D class of snoRNA which contain the C (UGAUGA) and D (CUGA) box motifs. Most of the members of the box C/D family function in directing site-specific 2'-O-methylation of substrate RNAs. Lineage: Eukaryota; Viridiplantae; Streptophyta; Magnoliopsida; Poales; Poaceae. The record is from Rfam by way of RNAcentral.